RNAcentral lists this ribosomal RNA (339 nucleotides) under Triatoma dimidiata (kissing bug). RNAcentral describes it as "partial 16S ribosomal RNA". Lineage: Eukaryota; Metazoa; Arthropoda; Insecta; Hemiptera; Reduviidae. The record is from RNAcentral.
CUGACCUGCCCAAUGAGGAAUUCAAUGGCCGCAGUAUUUUAACUGUGCUAAGGUAGCAUAAUCAUUUGUCUUUUAAUUGAGGGCUGGAAUGAAAGGUUGGACGAGAUAUUAACUUUCUUUAAUUUAAUUUUAAGAAUUUAAUUUUUGAGUUAAAAAGCUUAAAUUUAUUUGUUGGACGAGAAGACCCUAUAGAUCUUUAUAAUUUUAUAUUUUGGUAAUUUGGUGAUUUUAUUUAUUGUAAGUAGAAGAAUUAUUUUGUUGGGGUGACUGUAGAAUUUUAUUAACUUCUAUUAUUUUUAUUUCAUUGAUUGAUGUUUUUUUGAUCCAUAUAUUUAUGAU